ACACCUGGGGCAGGCGCCGGUGCCCGCAAGGGCUGAAACGGGAACGCGCCCGGGCCGCAAUGGCAGUCCGGGGCGCGGCUGCUCCCGCAACUGUUGGCAGCGAGCCGGGUCCAACGAGCCAUUGCCUCGCCACCGGGGUGAGAAGGCGGACACCGGCGAGGACCUGCGAGCCAGGAAACCGGCCGGCGUCGAGAAUGCGCGC
RNAcentral lists this non-coding RNA (202 nucleotides) under Rhodovastum atsumiense. The record is from RNAcentral. Lineage: Bacteria; Pseudomonadati; Pseudomonadota; Alphaproteobacteria; Acetobacterales; Acetobacteraceae.